Molecule: long non-coding RNA, 494 nt
Filed under: Mytilus galloprovincialis (Mediterranean mussel)
Lineage: Eukaryota; Metazoa; Mollusca; Bivalvia; Mytilida; Mytilidae
Source: RNAcentral
GUGCUAGUACCGGAUAUAUGUGCAUUGUAUUGUCAAAAACAGCCCAUAUUUAUGUAGCAGAAGCAUUCUACUGUCCAAUAAAUAACUAAAGGUUUACAUUUUAACAAUUUUGUAAAACUGCUAUAUUUUGGGGCCAAAAAGGGAUCUUACUGAACCUACUCCUUUCUACCAAACACCUGCUUCAGUUUUUGCAAUGAAAUCGACACACCACUUACAUUUUACUACAUAAUUUCUGACACUCUUAAGAUUUAUUUGAUUUUGCAUGAGGCUCCUAUAUUAACUUGUUAUUUAGAUGUGAUUGUAUUGCAAACUAAGUUUGAUGGCGAAUAUCAAAAGUUAAAUUUGAAAGAGGGACGAAAGAUACCAGAGGGAGAGGCAAACUCAUAGAUAAAAAAUUAAACCGACAACACCAUAGCUAAAAAUAAAAAGACAAACAAACAAAUAAUAGUACAGAAGACACAACAUAGAAAACUAAAGACUUAGCAACACGAACC